RNAcentral lists this ribosomal RNA (484 nucleotides) under uncultured bacterium. RNAcentral's name for it is "partial 16S ribosomal RNA". It matches the Rfam family "Bacterial small subunit ribosomal RNA", at positions 30 to 507 of the family's 1533-position model. The record is from RNAcentral.
AUUGAACGCUGGCGGCAGGCCUAACACAUGCAAGUCGAGCGGAUGAAGGGAGCUUGCUCCUGGAUUCAGCGGCGGACGGGUGAGUAAUGCCUAGGAAUCUGCCUGGACGUGGGGGAUAACGUCCGGAAACGGGCGCCAAUACCGCAUACGUCCUGAGGGAGAAAGUGUGGGAUCUUCGGACCUCACGCUAUCAGAUGAGCCUAGGUCGGAUUAGCUAGUUGGUGGGGUAAAGGCCUACCAAGGCGACUAUUCUUAACUGGUCUGAGAGGAUGAUCAGUCACACUGGAACUGCGACUCGGUCCAGGCUCCUACGGGAGGCAACAGUGUGGAAUGUUGGACAAUGAGCGAAGGCCUGCUCCAGCCGGGCCGCGUGUGUGAAGAAGGUCUUCGGCUUGUAAAGCACUUUAAGUUGGGAGGGUGGGUAGUAAGUUAAUACCUUGCUAUUUAGACGUUACCUACAGAAUAAGCACCGGCUAACUUCGUG